This is a long non-coding RNA of Esox lucius (northern pike), 3134 nucleotides long. RefSeq lists it as uncharacterized. The record is from RefSeq and is a predicted model, not a curated record. Lineage: Eukaryota; Metazoa; Chordata; Actinopteri; Esociformes; Esocidae. The transcript has 6 exons.
CUGGCACUCUGUGCUAUCUUGGUGUAGUUAUACAUAUCUUUGACACGGGUACUGCACGCAAUCUCCAUUUUAGAUAAUCCCAUCUGCUGUAGAAGAAGAACAUGUCAAGGCCACAGCCGUCAACAUUUCUUACGCAGCACCAGGACAUGGCAGACAAAUCAUCAGAAAAACAGCAGGAAUGGGAAGAUUUGGAGGCGGCAUCCGAUGAGGAUUUGGAAGUGUCCUCGUAUGACCUCAUGACUGAUCCUCAGUUCCCCCCAUCAAAGGACCCCUACACCCCACCAGACAGUGAGACACCCUGCCCUUCCUCCACCCUGACCACGGGGCCUGGAUCCUCCCCUUUCACACAGAAGAAGGACUUCACUGCUGCCGUUUCCUCCAAGAGGUCUCGGGCCUCUAGUUCCACAGAGUCGAGAGGCAACACACCCAUUGGUUCCCAGAGAGACCUCAGUGAUGUGGAUUCUGACCAGAUGGACUUCAGUUUUGAUGCCACGGUCGCUACCAAGAAGUCCCGGCUCUCCAGUUCGACCAAGACCAGGGCCACCCGCCUCGGCUCCCAGAGAGUCCCUAAUUAUGUGUUUUCUGACCAAAUGAGCAUGACGUCAGAUGAGGAUUUUGACGUGUUGUCAGAUGAUCAAAUGAAUUAUCCCCACUUCAUCCCAGCAGAGGAAAACUCUGAUUCAACAGACAGUGAGACACCCUGCACGCCCUCUACCCCGUCCCCAAAGUCUAAACCCGGCCCUGUCAAACAGAAGAAAAGCAUGUCUACAUUAACAAUCAAAACCUGCAGUAAGACCAAGGAUGGGAAAAGGCUCUAUGACAAAAAGCAUUUCUGUAUAUACUGCAUGAAACCCAAUUCUAAAAUAUCCAGGCACUUAGAAAGAAAGCAUGGAGAUGAGGAGGACGUAGCCCGGGCUUGUAGCUUCCCAAAAGGCUCUAAGAAAAGGUCAGCCUUGCUUGAAGAGCUGAGAAACAAAGGUGACUAUCAACACAACAUCUUAGUGCUUGAAGAGGGGAAGGGAGAGAUCGUUACAUGGAGACAACCCCCAGGAAGUGCUUCCAUUGAGGACUACCUGCCCUGUUCUCACUGUUUGGCUUUUUUUGUGAAGAGCGAGUUAUGGAGACACGAGUCGUCUUGCAGGGCAAAAAAGGAAGGAGAAAAAGGGUCAAAGAAUAGUGAAGAAAAAGGGUCGAGGAAGAGGGUCCAAUCUCUAGCUUCCCAUCUGAUCCCAAUCUCUAAAAGUGCUUCGCAGGGAUGCCAAAAGAUCAUCCACAAAAUGCAACAAGAUUCAGUGGCUUUUCACAUACGAAACGACCCCUUCAUUUGUCAGUUUGGAGAUGCUUUGUACGCAGAGCGUGGUCAUGAGUUGUCCCAGCACGGCUACAUCUCUCAGAGAUUAAGGGAAGUGGGUAGACUCAUGGUAGCGGUCAAGAAGCUUGACAGCAGUAUACAGCACCUACAAGACGUCUGUAAACCCAGCCGGUUCGAACUGGUCGUUGAAGCGGCAAAGAAGGUCAGUGGGUUCAAUCCGGACAAAAAUGACUACACCAAGCCAAGUUCAGUAAUCAGAAUAGGACACUCACUUACGAAAGCAGCGGAAUGUUUAGCGAACCAAAGUGUGAUUAUUGGCGAUAAGGAGUCCCAUAAGGAUGUAAACAACUUUGUGAAACUAAUGACCUCCUCUUGGAGAACCUAUGUAACUUCUAAUGCACACAGGUCAAUUGAACAGAAGAAAUGGAACAAAGAAGAUGCCGUUCCGUUAACAGAAGUUGUGAAGAUCCUCACAACAUGCUAACGUUAAUUAUAUGAAGACAACAAGGAUCCUUCUUAGACAGUGCUUUCCAAUACAUCUGGAAGAUGUUGAAUGGGAGCCUUACUGCCAUGACAAUAAUAUUCAGUACGAGGUGAGAAAAGGAGGGCGCCCGUCCUUUUAACCAAGAGAAGUUCUCUUGAGGUUAGACUAUGUAGGGACGGAUUUAUCUAAAAUCCCAGACACACGUACCCUGCAGGGCAACCGAAUAGGCAAAGAUUUAACCCUGCCUAAAACUGGAACUUAAAUACACCCUCCUCUUAAAAGAACCUUCCCGGCAUCAGGGGACCAAACAGACUUCAGAUGCUUUUAAAACGUAUUAUUUGGUCAAGACGCCAAAAUCAGGACCUCGUGUAAUUCUCCUUCUCAAGGGAAGCCCUGAAGUGAGAUUGUCUGCGUGCAUAGAGUACACCGUGUUUUCAUGCUUUGAGCGUUGUUUACUGUAGAUGUUACAUGGAUGAUAUUCUUUCCUGAAUACGUUUUCUUGCUUUCAGUGAAAGCAGGCCUAAGGACUCACGGUUAUGUAAGGGUCAUGUAAGGGUCAUGUAUGAGGUCCCCACCCCCAUGUGUGUACCUAGGAUUUGUGAUCGUAACCAUAACAACUUUGAGAGGGGGAUGGGACUCCUCACAGAGGUUUCUGGCCACUCAUCCUGAUCAGGGCGUGAGCAUGGGACGUGUCAGCCAAUCAGGUGGUAUGAACCCCGCCUGGCCCUGCCCUCACAUUUCAUUGGAAUUUCACUGAGAGCUUGGGGUGUCGAUGCCCCCCUCCCCCACCACAGUGUCCCUGCAAUCCAGUGGAUGAACACAGUUCUUUCUUGCAAACGGCCCAAAAGCCGGAGCGGACGGGGAUGUCUGUGUUUAGGACCACGAAACGUAAGAAGUCACGCUUCUCUUUAAGCGAAUCCUGGACUUGUACCAACAAAUCCACUGUCGAUCAUAGAUGAGACCUAGAAUUCCCUCUUGGAAAGAGACCUAGAAUUCUCCCUCUUAGUCCGGCUGAUGAUUUAGUGUCCACCCAUCGCAUUCAGAGAACCUUAAGGACCAAUGGUGGUGUACACAUCUGUCCUCCCAUUGGGUGUGGUUGCGACAGGGCAUUACACCUGAAGGCUGAGUAUUCUAUAGAAAAUACUUGCAUUCCGGUUGUAAAGUUCUUACCACUAAAAUAAUCUUCAGUAAAUACUGGAAUAAGCUCUUUCUCUCUUUCGGUUGUAUAAAAAGUAAAUAUCAAAUUGCCUACUACUUUGCCAUAAUCUGCUGUGUUUCUAUUCAAUUCUAAUUAAUGUUCACUAUGUUUCUAUAAUAAAUCUUCAUGAUAUAAAAGCA